AGAGUUUGAUCCUGGCUCAGAACGAACGCUGGCGGCAGGCUUAACACAUGCAAGUCGAACGAGAAUCUAGGGCUUGCCCUAGAGGACAGUGGCAGACGGGUGAGUAACGCGUGGGAAAUUACCUAGUGGUAUGGGAUAACGUUUGGAAACGAACGCUAAUACCGUAUACGCCCUUCGGGGGAAAGAUUUAUCGCCAUUAGAUGUGCCCGCGUUAGAUUAGCUAGUUGGUAAGGUAAUGGCUUACCAAGGCUCCGAUCUAUAGCUGGUCUGAGAGGAUGAUCAGCCACACUGGGACUGAGACACGGCCCAGACUCCUACGGGAGGCAGCAGUGGGGAAUAUUGCACAAUGGGCGCAAGCCUGAUGCAGCCAUGCCGCGUGAGUGAAGAAGGCCUUAGGGUUGUAAAACUCUUUCAGUGGUGAUGAUAAUGACAGUAGCCACAGAAGAAGCCCCGGCUAACUCCGUGCCAGCAGCCGCGGUAAUACGGAGGGGGCUAGCGUUGUUCGGAAUUACUGGGCGUAAAGCGCGCGUAGGCGGAUUGAUCGAGUCAGGGUGAAAAUCCGAGGCUCAACCUCGGAACUGCCUCUGAUACUGUCAGUCCUGAGUUCGAGAGAGGUGAGUGGAAUUCCUAGUGUAGAAGUGAAAAUCGUAGAUAUUAGGAAGAACACCCGUGGCCAAAGGCGGCUCACUGGCUCGAUACGGGGG
Molecule: ribosomal RNA, 704 nt
Filed under: uncultured bacterium
Lineage: Bacteria
Description: bacterial SSU rRNA
Rfam family: Bacterial small subunit ribosomal RNA
Source: RNAcentral